CCGAGAGACUGAGGUCUAACCGGCCUCAACUCUUCAUCCGUGCCUACAUAACUAAGUUGCUUUGGCUGAUGGGCAAUCUGCCCUAAAGUCAGUCAGAGACUCACCUAAAUUCUUUUAUCAGUGAAGUCGGAGUAAUCAUUUAAUAAUUAAAACUUUCAACAACGGAUCUCUUGGUUCUGGCAUCGAUGAAGAACGCAGCGAAAUGCGAUAAGUAAUGUGAAUUGCAGAAUUCCGUGAAUCAUCGAAUCUUUGAACGCACAUUGCGCCCUUUGGUAUUCCGAAGGGCAUGCCUGUUCGAGCGUCAUUACAACCCUCAAGCACAGCUUGGUAUUGGCUUUCGUCCCUGAGACGUAGCCGAAAUUCCGUGGCGGUCCAGCGAGACUUCAAGCGAUCAAGAUUUUACAUCCCGCUUUGCAAGCACCUCGUAGAGCCAGUCAGUCAAAUACAUUUUUUCGGUUGACCUCGGAUCAGGUAGGGAUACCCGCUGAACUUAA
This is a ribosomal RNA of 494 nucleotides. The stretch from base 151 to 304 matches the Rfam family "5.8S ribosomal RNA".